UAGGGAAUAUUGGGCAAUGGGCGAGAGCCUGACCCAGCCAUGCCGCGUGCAGGAAGAAGGCUUUCUGAGUCGUAAACUGCUUUUGACAGGGAAGAAUAAGCGCUACGUGUAGCGUGAUGACGGUACCUGCAGAAUAAGCACCGGCUAACUCCGUGCCAGCAGCCGCGGUAAUACGGAGGGUGCGAGCGUUGUCCGGAUUUAUUGGGUUUAAAGGGUGCGUAGGCGGCCCGUUAAGUCCGGGGUGAAAGCCCGUUGCUCAACAACGGAACUGCCCUGGAUACUGACGAACUUGAGUACAGACGAGGUUGGCGGAAUGGACCGAGUAGCGGUGAAAUGCAUAGAUACGGUCCAGAACCCCGAUUGCGAAGGCAGCUGACUAGGCUGUUACUGACGCUGAGGCACGACAGCGUGGGGAGCGAACAGG
Molecule: ribosomal RNA, 424 nt
Filed under: Bacillota bacterium
Lineage: Bacteria; Bacillati; Bacillota
Description: Firmicutes bacterium partial 16S ribosomal RNA
Rfam family: Bacterial small subunit ribosomal RNA
Source: RNAcentral